CUUUCACACGGCCCGUACCCCAAACCGACACAGGUGGUCAGGUAGAGAAUACUAAGGCGAUCGAGAUAACUAUGGUUAAGGAACUCGGCAAAAUGCCCCCGUAACUUCGGGAGAAGGGGGGCCCUGUCUGGUGACGACAUUUACUGUCUGAGCUGGGUGGGGCCGCAGAGACCAGUGAGAAGCGACUGUUUACUAAAAACACAGGUCCGUGCGAAGUCGUAAGACGAUGUAUACGGACUGACGCCUGCCCGGUGC
RNAcentral lists this ribosomal RNA (255 nucleotides) under Rhodococcus erythropolis. RNAcentral's name for it is "partial 23S ribosomal RNA". It matches the Rfam family "Bacterial large subunit ribosomal RNA", at positions 1630 to 1869 of the family's 2925-position model. The record is from RNAcentral. RNAcentral also lists the same sequence under 2 other names. Lineage: Bacteria; Bacillati; Actinomycetota; Actinomycetes; Mycobacteriales; Nocardiaceae.